This 376-nucleotide ribosomal RNA is filed under the name uncultured bacterium. RNAcentral describes it as "bacterial SSU rRNA". It matches the Rfam family "Bacterial small subunit ribosomal RNA", at positions 524 to 898 of the family's 1533-position model. The record is from RNAcentral.
UACGUAGGGUGCAAGCGUUAAUCGGAAUUACUGGGCGUAAAGCGAGCGCAGGCGGUUUUGUAAGUCAGAUGUGAAAGCCCCGGGCUCAACCUGGGAACUGCGUUUGAAACUACAAGGCUAGAGUAUGGGAGAGGGGGGUAGAAUUCCACGUGUAGCAGUGAAAUGCGUAGAGAUGUGGAGGAAUACCAAUGGCGAAGGCAGCCCCCUGGCCUAAUACUGACGCUCAGGCUCGAAAGCGUGGGGAGCAAACAGGAUUAGAUACCCUGGUAGUCCACGCCCUAAACGAUGUCAACUAGUUGUUGGGAGAGUAAAAUCUCUUAGUAACGCAGCUAACGCGUGAAGUUGACCGCCUGGGGAGUACGGUCGCAAGAUUAAA